Molecule: long non-coding RNA, 246 nt
Organism: Stylophora pistillata
Lineage: Eukaryota; Metazoa; Cnidaria; Anthozoa; Scleractinia; Pocilloporidae
Source: RefSeq, a predicted model, not a curated record
GCUCCUUUCACGUGCAGGAGUUGGUCACCGGGCCAUCGUUUUGUUUGGCUGAGCCAAAUAAGGCCAUAAAAGGGAACUAACAUCACGCCACUUUUUAGAAACGGUUUUGGUCGAGUAAAGGACCGAGUGGACUUCACCCAAAGCUCAGGAGAAAAUCUUAAGAUCCAAUUCUGUUGAUCGUAAAGCUUCAGAUCAUCAAAGCUCCUUCUAACAGAGAGAGAGAAAAACAGACCGAGGGACAGAGAG